Long non-coding RNA from Meriones unguiculatus (Mongolian gerbil), 10437 nucleotides. RefSeq lists it as uncharacterized. The record is from RefSeq and is a predicted model, not a curated record. Lineage: Eukaryota; Metazoa; Chordata; Mammalia; Rodentia; Muridae. The transcript has 3 exons.
ACCAGUUCUUUUGUUGUCUGUGGCUCUGGAGCCUCUGACUGCACUCCACCCCCUCUCCUUUCCAGCUUCCUUUAGCCCCUUCUCCACUUUCUCCUACUUUUCUAUUGUCUUUUGCCGAAGAGAGGACCACGUGUCUCUUUCUCCUGGAGCGACUUCUGCUCUGCCUGCUUCCUAGGAUUCUUUAACCAUCUUCCAGCUUGAUACUUCCUUUAGGACAGAAAACAAAGUCUUAUUUUGCAUCAAAGUCAAAGCUGAUAUUGGAAAGUAUAGGUACUCCUCUGUAAUUGCAGAUCUAAGCUGAAGUCCAAAAAGAAGCAAGACUCCUUCCAUUCCAGAACUACCUCCCACAGCCUCCUGCCUUCCGUGGUCAGAGUCAGCAGCCUCCGAAGGGGGUCAGAGGUAAUGCGGGGGCUUAAGUAUUCACGCUCUCUCACAAGCAAAGCACACCUCCUACUACUGAGAUGUAAGUAUUCACUCGAAGGCCGAGUGGUAGAAGAUUCACUGGGCCUCUUGCCCUCAGCACACAGCGCCUUGCCUUCUGGUGUGUACACACCCUGAGGAAUAUGCUUUAGUUUGGACCCAGGAAAGUGAGAUUCUUCCCUAACCAUACUAAAAUCCCCUGCUUUUGUGUGAGAGCCUUUCUCAGAGGCCUGGUGCCCUGGGGCCUGGAUGGGAGAGGUGGGGCUUCUCUGUCAGGUCAGAACAGGCCCAGGAAGAAGAAAGUAUUCCAAACAAGGCAGACCAGCCCUUCCCACCCAGUCUGCAUGUCUCUGCUUAGAGCAGCCUUUUAUGAGGCUUAACCUGAGCAGCAGACAUGCCUGAACACAGCAAAGAAGAGGCCAGGGCAGUCCCUGUAAAGUUCCUGCUGGCUGGGCAUUUUCUUUGGAGCAGGGACAAAGUCCAUAGGUACUACAUGGCCUCCCAAUGUAGCUCAAUCUCUGAAAGCGAGUAUACACUCUGCUCCCUCUCCUGAUCCCUACCCCAGGCUUCCAGGAGAAGCCAUUUAUGGAUUCUGUGCAGACCUGGGAAAGGUGUCGGCCGCUGGAGGCUGAUUUUCCCAGACAAGUCUGUGGGAAGAGGACUAAGAGCUCUUUCUUCCACCAUCCACCGCCCCAUAAAUGGCCCUGUUCCUGCAGAGUCCCUGUCCUUCCUCCAUUCCUCCUCAGCCCAUCCUGCUCAUACCAGCACACAGGCCUGGACUGGGCUGCUCAUGCUCUCACCCAGUGGCUUUUUCAGAAGAACACCUGCGUUUCACCCUGUGGUAAGCAAUGGCAGAGCACCUGCUUUCCCUAGACAUCACGAAACACACCUAGCUCUGAUAUGGCUUACGCACUGAGGAGGACAGCCCACAUCCUACGUAGGUAUACAGUGAGGAGACUGCACUUGGAUGUAUGCCUUUAUUGGCAAGAAACAUCCCAGAGUCCAGCUCCAUGACACUGGCUGUUCCACCGAGCACAGUCUAGCUCUGAGGUUGGAGCAAGGAUGCCUGCCUGGGGAGGGUUUUCAGGUCCUCCCCGUCCUAUGAGAGUAUGGCUGCAGAUCCUGCAGCUCUCGUCCAGAUCACACACAGCACUACAAGAGGAAACCUGGUAGACUAACAGCCCCAGACGAUCCAUGGGUCCUCUUGUCCUUCAUUCCACCGGAGUCUGUCUUAUGCCAACCAGAUUUCAGUGGAGUGAAGCUCAGGAGGCAUGGAGCUGCCAGCAGUGGACCAAAGCACAGCAUCUGAACACAGGCAUUCUGUGAAAAUCCAGUCACCAGGGUAUCUACAGCGAGCCCUUCUGCAAAGGCGUGCAGACACAGAAACACUGCCGAUGAGAGCUGUAUGGCCUCUCUUCCGAAACCUGCAAACAUUAAACAUUGCCACCUGCUGACCAGCCUUCCUGCAUCCAUGGCCUGUGCUGUCCAUCUCCCAGGUCUGCUCCCCUGCUGGCUCAAGUCCCACACAGGAGCUCAAGGAGUCUGCCAGCUCCCUGACUCCCUCUCUCUCUAGGGUUUCUGGGCUGGUAGGUGAAACUGUUUGCAACCAUCUAGGGACCCUGUUGCCCUCUGAUGCUCCACAGUGCCAGAGAGACCUGCAGAACUGGGGAGGAAAUCUCUAUUAAAAUUAUUUAAGUCUAUUUAUAUUGUAAUAAAAUAAAUGUAAAAAAGACUUAAAUGAAGGCAGAUUCAGAUCUUUCUGACACUCUGCAGGAUAUAACUCAGCAGGAAGUGUAAAUUCCAUAAAGGUUAAUGCAUUUAAACAUAUUUGACCCAUAAAGCUGCCAGAUCCGACUUUAAUCACUCACCAAGUGUAAUUGCCUUUCCAUGGUCCCUCUGCACUUAGGCUCUGUAGAAAUCUGGCGUGGGACAGGGACAAAUAUUUCUUGGUUGUCAUGGUCUAUGAUUUGCUUUGAUAGAUUUGGCACUGAAUUCAUUGGCUGUGCACCCUGAGUGACUGUUGUUUUGUUUUUAAACACCACAUCUCUCCUUCAGGGAAGAAGAUGUAUGGUUGUGGCAGGAGGCAGAAGUCCAAAAGAAGUCCUUUAGUCUGAAGGCUCUGCCCAGAGAAAGCCGCCUUCUUCAGUGGAGGGGUCUGCCCGAGGAGCCACCCUGGCUAGAAACAAAGGCAGACACUAAACAAAGCCCACCUCUGCAAGACACCCUGUGUGGCCAGGCUCAGAAGAGCCCACACUGCAGGUUUUCCUAGGAACUGGGCACGCAGACCACUUUGGUAUCCUUGACCCUGAGUCCUGGGCCACUGAAUGCCCCAAGUGGCCUCUUCACCUCCCCAGAAACACAUGACCCAGGGAAUCAUGAGGGCCUCCCACUGAAUAUAGGAAAAAGCAUUUAUCUGUAAUGUCUUCUCCUCCUGCUUCUGUUAACAUGAAUGUCAAACUCAGCCCAUCCCCCACACCUCUGCAUACUGAGUCCCACAAAGGGGUGAGGAGACCAGGCCACAGGCACUUAGAAAUGAGACAUGUUUACUCAUAAAAAUUACAUAGUGGAUCUGACUGAGGGACCAUGUUGGUCUGGGUACUGAGCUAGCUAACUAGUAAACGCCUUCUGUCCUGAGCUCCACAAGAAAUUCAUAGGCUAGAACAAAGAAAGCACCAGGCAGACAUGAUGCGAUAUUUCCAUGGGUGGUGUUGCUUGAACUCCAUAACCUGGGUUCUUUUCUAGAGAAGGAAACAUGGCUGUGUGUUUCUAUGUAACCAAGCUCAGGAAGGGACAAGAACCAAAGCGGCCAGUGAUGACUAGAGAAGACUGCAGAGCCAUCUAGGGCAUGAAGCUGCAAGGUCUCUGCCCCAACACCCUGAACACCACUCCAGCCCCAUGUCACGUUUCAGCUGAGACACAGGGCACUGCGUGCCUGGCGCCGAGGUCUGAAACAUCCUCCCUCUGGCAGCACAGAUUGCUGGUCCCCUGUGCAGAAGCACAAGCCCCUGCUCUUAGCCCAGAGCAGCUUCCAGAGAAGCAGUGUGAGCCGAGAACUGGAGAGAACUGCCCGUCCACCUCCCCUCCAGGCCCCUGACCUUCUGUGUCUCCUGUCCUGCCUGCAAAGUAUGGCUCAGCACAAACUAUUGAGGAAACAGUUUAAUCACAACACCCUUGAAACAGCAGCAGCAAAAAAAUAAUAUCACCCAGCAUUCUGUAUUCACGAUCUUUUAGCGAGGGGAAAAGCAAAUAUCAUUGAGCCAAACCCAAGUAGACAAAUAUAUACAACCACUGGUAAUUUAAUAUUUUGUGCUAAUGGCGAACCCUGUAGAUACAACCCAAGAGAAGUAAAUUACAAUCCUAUCAAUAAUACAUUGUGUCUGGGCUCUGGGUUCCCAGCACACAUGAAAAUGUGUAUUGGCAAAAACUCCGUGAAUAUUAAAAGCUGUGCAUAUAAUGAGGUGCAGGACACAGGAGCUGGGGACUCCCUUAGCACCGCGUCCUGGACAUCCAGGUUUUCAAUGGCGGGAACAGGCCAUGCCGCCACCUCUGCAGCCGGCACUAAAGGAAGAUACCCAGCACACCCUCAGCAGAUCACCAGCUCAGAGAUAACCUGCCAGCUUGCAGGACCCACUGUUUUCUUUGUUGUUGCUGUUCUAUUUGCUUGUUUUAAGCCACGGAGGUCUCCAGUGUCAGCUGUGAGGCUAGAACAGCUCCAGAGAGCCCCAGGACAAACAGUACCAUUCCAGAGAAAGACCACAGGCUAUCCUUUUCCUGACCUGCCUGGGAUGAGCAGGAGGUUUAGAACUGCGAAUGUUCCAGCCACGGCAGCUCGGCAGCUCAUCCAAAUCCCAGCUCUGCUGCUUGCAGAAGCAUGUGACAGUCUUGCUUCAGAACGGGAGAGUAUUUCUGCCAUACUAACAUGAAAAACGAGGACGAAUUAGGCUAAUGAUGCAGGAACUCUUGUUGCUGCCACUGUCACAUACUGGUCUCUGACCUUCCCUGAUUCAAAGAAUAGUGAGAGACUUCUUCUUCUUCUUCUUCUUCUUCUUCUUCUUCUUCUUCUUCUUCUUCUUCUCUCUCUCUCUCUCUCUCUCUCUCUCUCUCUCUCUUAAAAUCAGACUCUGAAAGGAGUGCAUAGGAAAGGAGGGAGGCUGUGAGGGACUCUGAAGAAGAAUGCUGCCACAGUCUCCACUCAGAGAUGAAAGGGACUGGUCAGACACACACUAGCUCCCUAACAGAAACAGAAGCUUCCUGAAUCGUGGUGAUUUCUCGGGCUUUCUGGACAGAGCCAACAAUGCGUCAAAGAAGAAGAAGGUGGCAAACAGCUCCUUUUGUCUGGAGAUAACAAGCGGCAUCCUCAUCUUCCCCACCCCCCUCCUCCAUCCCUACCUUCCAUCUCUCCAAGUUUUCCAUGCUGGUUGUCAGAUUCCGGGGGAGGGUGGGACACCUGGUGGGAAACGGGGAAAUUACAUCGGGGAACCCUCUGAGGUGAGAGAAGCCCCAUAGAGAGGUACAGGCACCCUGGCGCUGACGCAACACUGAAAAACUUUGGCAGAAAGUGACUUCAGUGUUGCUGUGUUCACCUGUAUCUGAGACAUAGGUAGCUAAGAAUAACUGUAGUAAGCACGUAGAUAAACACAUACAUGGGUGAUGAAACAAAUACAUGGCUGCCUCAUCAUGUUGAAAGCAGGUGCUACUCAAAGGACUCACCAAGCUGGAGAUCUGGGAAGAGUCCCCACCAAAGCAAUGGUGGUAGCCAGCAGCCGCCCAAAAGCCUCUGAGUCAGCAUGUGUGUAGUUAACAGGGGUCAGAUUAGAUCUGGUGCCAACUUGAUCUGGCCACCAGACUCUGGGCCAGCCACUUAACCUCUCUGAGCCCUAAUUUCCUUAUCUGUCAAGCAGGAAUAACGACACUAAUGUCAAGGGCUUCUGAAGAGCCAGACGCUGCAUGCUUCCUGACUACAGAAUAAUUUAAUGCUCCCAGCCAUUAGCAGAUGCAAUUGACAUUUCAGGUGAUUAGGUGACAGAGGGUGAGGGACCAGCCUGUAAACAGUGGAGCUGGGAGGCAGGCCUGGCUCUCUGCUCUGGAGUUGGCACUGGGACCUUCACCCCAUCCCCUCAGUUCCUGCUGGUGUGAGGGCCAGACAAUAUGCUGGGGUUUGGAUCUAGAGCAUCCCCACAGGCCAGAGGACAAAUGUGAUCCUCAGCUUCUAGCCUGCAGAAGAUGCUACAAUUUUUCAGGAUGAGGCCUAAUAACGGAAAUUCAGGCAGCUAGAGGCUAGACCCUGCAUUCUACCUCCCCAUUUCCUGGCUCUUCUAAAGUAGGUGGCUUUGUCCCACUGCACCCUCCUCCCUUCACCACAAGCUACAGAACAAGGAAGCAGUGACAAUGGAGUGAACCCCUCUGAAACCAUUUCCCCGUUUUAGGUUGAUUUUCUCCAGCUUUUUAUCUCAAUGAUGGAAGGCUGGCAUAGAGGAUUAACACACACAGAAGAGCCAGCAAGUAUCUGCAGAGUCUUCACACCCAAGAAGGCUAUUCCCUACUUUCAUCUCAGUAUCAAGCAAAAAGGCCUUGGAUAAGCUUCUCUAGCACCUCUCCAUCACCUGGUUCCCCACUCUUACAUGGAACAGUUAACAGAGGCACCCCACUGGAGCCCCAGCUGCUUUGGGACACCAUGAGCUCAGCGUGAUGUGCCCACUGACCCCCUGAACUGUCCGAGCCUGUGAUUAUCUGAAGGAAACCACACAAAACUGCUGCACUACUUUCUAUCAAUUAUUUAUAGAUACUUAAUAGUUGCUAGAGUUGGGAGCUCAUGGGAUCUCACCCCUUGGCAAGAGUUUACAGGCAGGUAAGAGCUUAUGGAGGAGAGAUGUUGCCCAUGCUUCUGGAAGUAACUCUAUAAAUUCCCUGGUCUCCAGGCUGCACUGGGCUGGAAUCAUUUCUGAUUUCAGCCUAAACCACUUGAGAGUUUUUAUUAUGUUUUUUUUUUUUUUCAAAAUAAACAUUAUAAAAAUAAAAAAUUAACAAUAUCCUUUCCAGGGUGAAAGCUAAUUAAAUUUCCAUACCACUUCUUUUGGAACAAGUGAAAAUACUGGGAAAAAGGAAAUUUUGCAGGGCCAGAGUUAAAAGCACGUAGUGCUAUUGCAAAGGAUUCAGGCUUAGUUCCCAGCACAUAUAUGGUAGCUUACAACCAUCUGUGAUUUCAUUUCCUGGGGAUGCAGUGCCCACUUUUAACUUCCACAAUAAUCAAGUGUUCACAUGCACACACAGGCAAAACAUUUAUAUACAUAAAAUAUAAAUAAACAAAUCUCUUUAAAAAUAAACUUCAGGUGAUGAGCAAGUAAAAAAAAUAAGUUUUGAGCACACAAGAAUGAUCAAGAAAAAUGAUGAAGAGAUGAGAUAGCAAUUGAAAUUAAGGAGGGAUAGUGUUGACGCUGUUGGUGUUGAUGCUAUUGGUGCUGAUGCCGUUGGUGCUGAUGCCGUUGGUGCUGAUGCCGUUGAUGCUGUUGGUGCUGAUGCUGUUGGUGUUGAUGCUGAUGCUGUUGGUGCUGAUGAUGUUGGUGCUGAUGCUGUUGGUGCUGAUGCUGUUGAUGCUGUUGGUGCUGAUGCUGUUGGUGCUGAUGCUGUUGAUGCUGUUGGUGCUGAUGCUGUUGAUGCUGUUGGUGCUGAUGCUGUUGGUGCUGAUGCUGUUGGUGUUGAUGCUGUUGGUGCUGAUGCUGUUGGUGCUGAUGCUGUUGAUGCUGAUGCUGUUGAUGCUGAUGCUGUUGGUGCUGAUGCUGUUGGUGCUGUUGGUGCUGAUGCUGUUGGUGUUGAUGCUGACCUCCUCACUUCAGCAUUCUUUAAGAUAAUAUAUAAGUCUGGUAUCUAACCUCUUGCUUGAGUUAUGUACUUGUUUGUUUAGUGAACUCCUGUGUGAAGCUAUUAAACCUUUUUGUUCCUCCUGAAGAGCAAUGUGCCCAGCAGAUCUGUGACAAAGGAUCAGCUUCACUGAAGAGACAUGGAUUCUUUAAAAAGGUUUUCAGUGGCUGGUGGCUCUAACAGCAGCAGUUCAUGUAGUUUGUUUCCAAGACCUUCCAGAGGGGCCAGCAGGACAACACUUGGUUCCUCAUUACCCACAUAUCUCUUCCAGGAGCAUAAAUGUCCAGCUGAUGUAGCAUGUGGGAGCUGUGGCUAGUAAGAGUUCUGUAUGCCAGGACAUACCCAACUGAAGAAUGAAAAAAACAGCCAAAGGCAAAACUACGACAUUUACAGCAGAGCUGAUUUUCCGACUGCCUGACUCCCACAUCACUGUCUGUGAAGAAGGAUGGAUGCUUGAAUGAAGACAGUGCCCCUUUUAUAGCAGAACUGUAUCAAUUGCAUUUCAUUACUGCUCCAUUACAGCACAUUGUAUUAUAAUCCAACUGCUAAUAGCCUCACCUCAGAUGCUCACAUCACUCCCCUUUGUCCUCCUUGAAGGCCUGGCUUUAACCCAAGUUGCUUUAUCUGUUGCAAUUAGAUACAGGCUCCUGCCCUGAGUCAAGCCUAUGCCAGCAAUGGCAGCAACUUAACUACACCCACCACAAGGGGCUUGACAGGUGACUGUGCCAUCCAAAAGCUGAUUCUGAAUAUUGCCAUGCCCCAGAUGGUAGUAUGUACCUGCUACCUGCCUGAGAAUUUUGUAAAAUGCAGACUCUGACUCAGAAGAAGCAGGGCAGGGCCUGAGGACAAGCAUUUUAACAUCAGUUUCUAAGUGAUGCUUCUCAGUAUAAUAAAAACAAGUGUGGUGAGAAUUAUGAACUUUGGUUUUAAAAGAAAUACAAAACUAUUAUGGGAAUAUGUUUUCUUUUAAUCCCAGGUGUGGGGAUAUGGGGCUGCUUCACAGCAGAUGACUAUGAUUUGACUUGUGCUCUAGCAGAGGUGUGCUUAUUCUAGCUGCAGAUAGUUUCCACAAGUGUGUGAUGUUUGGAAUUCUGGGAACUUUUCAGAGGGUAUAUAAAUGCUAAAACCAUGAGAGGUGAGCUGUUGUUGGCUGGUUGGUGGUUGGAUGCCGUUGGUGUUGGCUGCAGUUUGUCAAGCAGUUGUGUGCAAACAAACAAAGAGAAGAAAUUUGAUAUCCUGAUGUUGAAGGUCAAACUUGCCCCAAGGAGCCUGACACCCCUAAUCACAGGAAAUAGUCUAAUGAUAACGUUGCCCCUUUCCUCUCCAUCCUUUCUUCUCUCCUACCUAGUGUUAGGGGCUAAGAAGAAUGGAAGAGAGAAAAAGGAACCCACAAAGUAGCAAAUGCUGGCUACAAACAAGAGCUCUUUGGGCUCAAAGCCAGGGUCAGGGACACCACUCAGGGUAAAGGCAUCUACCACCAAGCCUGAUGAUGUGAGUUCAAACCCCACCAAGCUAGAGAGAACUGACUCCUGAACGUUGUUCUCUGACCCCCUCAAGUCUACAUAAAUAAAUUAAAUUGAUGCAUUUUUUUUAAGUUUUUAAGACUCAAAACCAUUUCUCAUUCACUUCUCUGAGAGUAGUGGAGGGCAGCAAUGCACCCCACAUAGGCCAAUGACAAAGGGAUCAUUUUGAGUUGAAAGCAGCUGAUAAAGAUUAGGUGUGGGAGAAACGCUCCCCAUCCCAUAAAUUUCUAAAAACUAGACCUAAGUUUCUCUUUCUAAGAUAACAGAAAAUUCCACUUAUAAAAGCAUCUCCUUCUCUGUUCUAGGAAGAGAGUCAUUCCAGCGAUGACCCCUUAUCUACACUAAAGAACAGCAUUUACUAAUUCCAUACAUACUCGCAGCCUUCCUGUACCACUUCCCCUGCAGGAGCCCACCCAGCCUCCUUUCUGCACAUCAGCACCCUUUGUUAAGAUGAUACAUAGGCCUGGGAUCUAAUCUCUGCUUGAGUGAACUCCUGUGUGGACCUGUUUUAUAAAUCUGAUUUUCAUCCUGAUAAUUUGCUUUUUAUCACUCCCAUUUACAGGUCCCUCCCACUGACCCUGAGAGGGAGGAGGACACAGCAAGAUGAGGAACAACAGCACCAGGGAAACAGAAGCAAGACUGUGAGGUCAGAUCCAAGAGAUGCAAAGUACCAGAUCUCAACAGAGUAGAGGUGUCCCACCCACACAGGCAUCUGUGGAGGAUGCCACAGGGCAGAAUCAUCACUGAACCAGACACUUCUUGGAAGAAAGGCACACUGUGACCACAAGUUAGAACAUACUAGGUCAACAGCUAAAAACAGAGAAUGAAGAGCAAGAAGACACACUUCCCAGAAGACCAAAGCUCAGGGAGCCAGGCAGGUUGGUGGGCAAAGGGCAUCAGUCACAAAUCACCAUAGGACUAUGAAAUGACCUUGCUAAAGGCAAAUGUGUGCCUCAGUCAGGAGGACCUCGGUUUCUCUACCAGGACUCGGAUAUCUGGAUAGGAUAUGAGAAAUGUUGCAGGGCAGACACUAACAGCAGACUCUAACACAGAAUACAUCUGACCCACGUUCUUUUCAUCAGAGGAUGCACCUAAGAAUUAGUCAUUAUCAAGAAGACAUGGACCUGACCUUGCUUUGAGCACAACACAGUCACACCCAGAUGAAGAGGGCCAAGAGUGCCCACCCCAGUCUUAUACCUUCCCUCUCUGUCCUGAAGCCAAGUGCCCUGUCAGUAGCCACAUCCCAUGUUCCAAACGAACUGUCAGGUUCUCUGCCAGAUUUUUUAUGUAUAAUUAAAAGGUUUGCAAGAAGAUGAUGUUAUGAAACUAUCUGCUACUAUUUCUUAAUGGUGGGUGACAAGAACUGAACCACCAUUCCUUAAUUACAGAAGACAGAUGAGGAGUAUAGAAAGAAAGAAAGAAAGAAAGAAAGAAAGAAGGAAGGAAGGAAGGAAGGAAGGAAGGAAGGAAGGAAGGAAGGAAGGAAGGGAGAGGGAAAAAUAGAAGAAAAACCCCUCAAAGCCUGACAAGGUACCAAAGGGUUAAUCACCCAGGCUGAAUCUGAACAUUUCUGAACACAGACCUUCCUCCCUUUGGCACAGUUUUAUAAACUGUAUGUUCUUUUGUGUUGCUUUAU